Dermacentor albipictus is the source of this 1807-nucleotide non-coding RNA. The record is from RefSeq and is a predicted model, not a curated record. Lineage: Eukaryota; Metazoa; Arthropoda; Arachnida; Ixodida; Ixodidae.
UCAAGGAGAGUACUUGAUAGCAAUGCAUUGCAGCUUGGUAACAAAAAGAAAAAAAUGUUGGGGGAGAGGAGGAUGGAGAGUUUGUGUGCAGUAAUGCGAGUGCGCGAAUGCUGCCAAAGUGAAGCACAGAGGAAUGCUUCUCGCGCACGUGUCAGCUACAAGCCCGAGCACAGUCAAUAGCGCGCGGCGGCACCACUGGCACUGCGGCACCAAGUGUGAACAUCGCUCUCACAGAUUAUUCCUGUCCUUGCAAUGGAAAAUCGUUUGCCACUGCUGCAUUCAACAAGAACUGACCCUACAGAGCGCCAGCUGGCAGAUGUUGAUUGGCACGCAGAGGAAAGUACACGCAGAGUAAGUCAGUCAUGGCCGUGACGAUAGUCCGAAGCAUCUGCGCGCGCCGACCCGCGCCUGCUUCGUCACGGUAGGCACGCGCUGCCAUCCCGUCCCCGUCGCCUCGUUCGCGUCGGGAAACGGACGAGUCGCCGCUCGUCUUGCGGCGGCUCCAGCGGCGGAGACGGAGGCUUGUGCGGCGUGGCCGGCACAAGCCUCGUCCAGAAGACGUCCAGGUUCAUCGGAGUGGGCGCCUGGCGGACGCCGCUCAGCGCCGGCACGUCACUCGGGGCGGAGGCCACCGCGUUGGGCGUGCGCUCCCCCGAGAGGCCCUCGACGACGGGCGGCUCGACGACGACCGUCGAUGAAUGCUCCCGGGAGUAGACGUCCAGGUUUGGGUGCAUGGGCGUCGGCGGUUCCAACUUCUUGCCGCCCAGGCCCGACAGUUCGGGCAGGAAGAAGUCGUCGUCGACGAUGUGGGCGUCGGCGGUUUCAGCGGUCGCCGGGGGGUUUGCGGCGGCGGCGACGACGAGGUCGUCGGCGGGAGCCUGACCGAUGGUCCAGUCCGCCGGUGGGGACGCCGCGGCGUCCGACUUGGCGUCCUCGCUCAUGCCGUACUUGUGCGACGCCUUGGUCUUGGCCGAGGAACGACGGGUGCUCAUCUGCGACUUCGGAACGACUAUGCCCGGUUGCGAGCGCUGUUCUGUCGAUGACAACCCGCUGUUUACGAAAGCAUCGGCCGCUGACGCAAAAUGCCUGCAGAGCCGACGACGUUAAGAGGCAUUAUAUGAAAGGGCAUUGGCGAGAACACGCAGCCAGGAGCCGGUGCCGAUCGAAAAGUCGGCAAGGAAGCCCUACCUGGACGUGUCGGAACGCGGGGUCAGGUCCCGGCAUCGGCAGAACCGGAGCAUGCAGCACGCAGGGAUAAGUCCGCAGGGACUGCGUAACACUACGCAGUGAGAACGGGUGCAUGCUGAGGGGAAGUCCCGGAAGUGGCAGCUGACCGUCUGACCAACCUGGACCAGGGUGGCGUUGGACUGCUGGUGGACGCUGGUGCUCAGCAUGACGACAUUCGCGUUCGCUGCUGCAAGUAAACCAGGUUCUGCGCCGCGCAAGCAGCGGUCAACAGGAGUGUCCAUGGAAACUUUACCAGACUGUGCAUCUUAGCCGUCCGUGCUGGCAAAGCAGACCCGCCUGAGACGAGCGUGACCGGUGGGACUGUCCGUUACGAAUGGAGGGACGAAGCAAAGCUGGUGAGCGAGUUCGCGGUACUGUCGAGACCUCCGGUGUCGGUGUGGACACAGCCGCCUUUUCCAUUCAAGCUCGCAACACAAUCGGUGAGUCUGGACCCCGCAGGACCGCUGUUCGAGUCGCGCGGCGUCCAUCUGACAAAAGACGACGCCGACUUCGUGGAUGUGCUGCACACGAGCAUCGGCCGCGGAUGGACGAACGUGGUCCAGGGCCGGCUGGGAGUGAG